CUGGCUGUGGAGCCUUUGGUUGGGGGUUCGGUCCCCCACUGUGCCUGCACUGGACAAUAUGUCGGGUCCCUUCCAGUUCCCCGGUUCCAAGAUAUACAGGAAUCAUCACUUUGUCCCAGGAAAUGGGAUAACGUUCCAGGCCAUCCUGCUUGUUGUUUCUCUGUUAGGAAUCUUGCUUGUUAAUAGUGUUGACUCUGGCACCCCCUGCUGCCGUCCCGGCGCUUAAUAUGGAUGCCAAGGAUGGGCUUGUUUGUUUUCUGUAGAGGCAUCCAUCUUUCUCCCGGUUACCUCAGGCACAGAAUGUGGCAGGAUCUCCUCUCACCGGCCCAAAGGCUCAAAUUUUGGCCCCAACCCAGUUCCUGCCUCCAAAUGCAUUUCCUUCUUCGGGUGAAGCUCUGAGUGUCGGUGCCGGAACCGCAGGGUCCUUGGCUGUGCAGGCAGGAAUCUCACAGGGCCAGUUUCCUGGUGCAGCUGUUCCUCCCCUCAGACCACACUACGGCCGGCUCUCCGACCCUGCGCUUCCCGCCGCCGUUCCUUCGGCCAGCGUGCUCGUUCCUUGGCCCCAGGCUCCUCUCUGGUUUGCCGCUCCGCAGGCAGCGGUCGCUGCUGGUCAGACAGGACCGAAAUCCUUCGUUGGCAUGAUACCCAUCCCAGCAGCCGGCCUGGAUCCGGUUGUGGCAUGGACGCCAAGCGUGCUUUCCUUGAGGCAACCAAGAGAGAGAAACAGGGGCGUAAAUAGCAGCGCAGCUCAUGACCCCAGGGCGGUCUCCGCCUGCGCCAAUCCCGGGACUGUUUUGGCUCCUGUCAGCUCUGGACCCUUAGCCCAGGCCGGUAAGGCUUCCACGUGACUGAGUCACACAGACCUGGAAGCAGCAGUGGUUAAAACGAGGCCAAGUCCCUUCAGAAGAGAUCUUGAUUUGGUCUAGAGUGAUGGUUCUGGAUCUUCUUCGACUACAACUCCCAGAAAUCCUGGCCAAUACAGCGAAUGGUGAAGGCUUCUGGGAGUUUUAGUCCAAGGUUGGGAACCACAGAUCUAGAGUGACAGUACUCAGUUCAGUUUGUGCCCCCAAACUCAAGUCAGUUUUGGUAGCAGGGAAGGCUAAGUCCUCUCACUGCCUUACGUUGGAAAACUGAGAAAGGUAUCCCUUUUUUUUAAUUUUUUGCCGACUUCUUUCUGGAAACUUGAUGGACCUAAAUUUGGGAGUCAACCACCCCACCCCCAAAUUUUAUACCACUUUAACCCUUUUGGCACCUCAUCUGCUAAAGUAGACAUCUCAAACGACUGGGGAAACCAACCAAGUGCAACAGCCUUAGUUUAAUCGUUUUUUACUCUUAGAGAGAGUUUAUUUCUUUUGUUUGUUUGAUUUAUAGACUCCUCUUGCCU
This 1384-nucleotide long non-coding RNA is filed under the name Pogona vitticeps (central bearded dragon). RNAcentral's name for it is "lncRNA (ENSPVIG00000001122.1)". Lineage: Eukaryota; Metazoa; Chordata; Lepidosauria; Squamata; Agamidae. The record is from RNAcentral.